RNAcentral lists this ribosomal RNA (494 nucleotides) under uncultured bacterium. RNAcentral's name for it is "partial 16S ribosomal RNA". It matches the Rfam family "Bacterial small subunit ribosomal RNA", at positions 28 to 504 of the family's 1533-position model. The record is from RNAcentral.
GAUGAACGCUGGCGGCGUGCCUAAUACAUGCAAGUCGAGCGAACGGACGAGAAGCUUGCUUUUCUGAUGUUAGCGGCGGACGGGUGAGUAACACGUGGAUAACCUACCUAUAAGACUGGGAUAACUUCGGGACACCGGAGCUAAUACCGGAUAAUAUUUUGAACCGUAUGGUUCAAAAGUGAAAGACGGUCUUGCUGUCACUUAUAGAUGGAUCCGCGCCGCAUUAGCUAGUUGGUAAGGUAACGGCUUACCAAGGCAACGAUGCAUAGCCGACCUGAGCGGGUGAUCGGCCACAGAGGAACUGAGACACGGUCGAGACUCCGACGGGGGGCAGCAGUAGAGAAUCGGCCGCAGUGGGCGAAAGCCUGACGGAGCAACGCCGCGUGAGUGAUGAAGGUCUGCGGGUCAUAAAGCUCUGUUAGUAGGGAACAACAUAUGGGUAAGAAACUGUGCACAUCACGACAGUACCUAAACAAAAGGCCGCUACUAACGUC